RNAcentral lists this ribosomal RNA (253 nucleotides) under uncultured bacterium. Its description in RNAcentral is "partial 16S ribosomal RNA". It matches the Rfam family "Bacterial small subunit ribosomal RNA", at positions 524 to 776 of the family's 1533-position model. The record is from RNAcentral.
UACGUAGGGGGCAAGCGUUAUCCGGAUUUACUGGGUGUAAAGGGGGCGCAGACGGCGAUGCAAGCCAGGAGUAAAAGCCCGGGGCCCAACCCCGGGACUGCUCUUGGAACUGCGUGGCUGGAGUGCAGGAGGGGCAGGCGGAAUUCCUGGUGUAGCGGUGAAAUGCGUAGAUAUCAGGAGGAACACCGGUGGCGAAGGCGGCCUGCUGGACUGCAACUGACGUUGAGGCCCGAAAGCGUGGGGAGCAAACAGG